Molecule: long non-coding RNA, 840 nt
Organism: Harpegnathos saltator (Jerdon's jumping ant)
Lineage: Eukaryota; Metazoa; Arthropoda; Insecta; Hymenoptera; Formicidae
Exons: 2
Source: RefSeq, a predicted model, not a curated record
CACUACUACCACCACGACCACCACCACCACCACCAUCACCGUCAUCGUUACCACCACAUCAGCAACAUCGUCACCACUACAGUUAUAUCGCCGCUACACCCACCCGCGCGCACGACUUUGAUCGUCGCGCCGCGGAUCCGCUUCCUCGGUCGUCGUCGCGCGCGCGUUCCGCCGAUUCCCGCGCGCGCGAGAGAGACAGAGAGGAAGAGAAGAGGAAGGAGAGACGCGCCGCGCGACGGUUACACUCGAGAGUUUCACGGCCGCGACCCGAUUGCGAUCGGCGAAAGGAAAGAAGGCUCGCGAGAAGAGAGCGAAGAGGCAAUAAUCCGCCGCGUGUGCCUACGUGCUAACGUGUGUUCCGUGCGUGCGUGCGUGCGUGCGUGCAUACAUGCAUGCAUGCAUGAGUGAGUGAGUGAGCGUGUGAGCGAACCGCGAUCGGAACUCGCGCGCGUCUCUCUCGCUCAGCUCGCCGCGUCGUAUCGUGCCGUGCCGUGCCGUGCCGUGUUCCCGGUGGUCACACAGUGCUUGCGCGUCGUGCCGCGCGUGCUACGUCCUUCUCGUUCCGGUGUGUCGUCAUCCACGCGCACCAACGACAAAGAAAGCGCGCGCGAGUGAGCGAACGAGCGAGCGCGUGCUGAACGAGCGCGCCUCGUACAUCCCAGUGACAGCACGACGCCGAUUAUCGCGCGGAGGUGCUCGCGUUCUCUCCGUUUCCCACCGCUUCAUAGUGCCGUUGCGACGACGUAUCAUUGCAUUGCCCCGCCGCCGACAAAGAGCAUGAAGGCUGACAGCGACGCGAAGUGACCGGGCCCUUUCGUCCUCCUCCCCCCACCCACCCCC